GACGAACGCUGGCGGCGUGCUUAACACAUGCAAGUCGAACGGUGAAAGCGGAGCUUGCUCCGCUGGAUCAGUGGCGAACGGGUGAGUAACACGUGGGCAACCUGCCCCUCACUUCGGGAUAACUCCGGGAAACCGGGGCUAAUACCGGAUAUGACCUCCUUGGGCAUCCUUGGAGGUGGAAAGUUUUUCGGUGAGGGAUGGGCCCGCGGCCUAUCAGCUUGUUGGUGAGGUAGUGGCUCACCAAGGCGACGACGGGUAGCCGGCCUGAGAGGGCGACCGGCCACACUGGGACUGAGACACGGUCCAGACUCCUACGGGAGGCAGCAGUGGGGAAUAUUGCGCAAUGGGCGAAAGCCUGACGCAGCAACGCCGCGUGCGGGAUGACGGCCUUUGGGUUGUAAACCGCUUUCAGCAGGGAAGAAGCCGCAAGGUGACGGUACCUGCAGAAGAAGCACCGGCUAACUACGUGCCAGCAGCCGCAGUAA
RNAcentral lists this ribosomal RNA (485 nucleotides) under uncultured bacterium. RNAcentral's name for it is "partial 16S ribosomal RNA". It matches the Rfam family "Bacterial small subunit ribosomal RNA", at positions 28 to 523 of the family's 1533-position model. The record is from RNAcentral.